CUUGCUACUACUUUUAUUCAUCUUCUCCAAGCAUUUAAGAGCUCUUAAAGAUCAAGAUUUCAAGCCUAGAUCCAAGAUUCGAGUUCAUCUUCUUCAUCACCAUUGUUGACCCAGUUUUGGGGCUUCUUCCUGAGAAUGAAUUGUUCUUGGGGGAAUGGUACUUGAGACAUUGUGUUGGAUUGAGAGCUAAUUAGAGGCACGAGAAAGAUCUAGCUAAUCGAUGAAUUUUCAGUAUAUGGAGAUGACGAUUGUUAUUGGGUUUAGUAACAUCCGACCUUGACCUAGUCCUUAUGCAAGGCUUAGUUUAUCUAUUGUUGAUGACUAAAUCUAGUUUUUCUAUUCAUGGUAAUUCAAGUAUUGAUUUAUAGAAAGAGAUUUAUCUCUUGUUUGAUCUA
This is a long non-coding RNA of Cynara cardunculus var. scolymus (artichoke), 395 nucleotides long. RefSeq lists it as uncharacterized. The record is from RefSeq and is a predicted model, not a curated record. NCBI's taxonomy places the organism in Eukaryota, Viridiplantae, Streptophyta, Magnoliopsida, Asterales, Asteraceae. The transcript is spliced from 2 exons.